UCUCCAGCCCGUCCUAUUAGAGUUAAUGAGGAAAACUCGGUGCAAGUCAGCGGUGCAGGGCCCUUUUGGAAGCUGAGCUGGCGGCAGCCGGGCCGGGCUGUGGAGCUCCCAGAGCAGACCAGAACUACAUUCCCUGGAGAGAUGCAGUACAGGAUGACCUUCCAUCAGGUUCACAAAACAAGCAGGGCAGAGGUGGCAAUGGUCUAAGAAGCUCAGCAGACCCAGAGCAUCUCUGCAGCACCCCAAAGUGAGAUGCCCUGACUAAAGCCAGCAGGAAGAACAGAAAAAUAAAGGGUGCACAUUACCAAGUAGCCCUCAGAAAAACUCAAAAUUUGACAGAUUAUGCCAGACUUCAGAGAACAGCAAAUCUUUUCAGAAGCUGGUAGGAAUUUUCAAAUUACUCCUGGGCUGGUAAGGGACUAUAAUAUGACUAUAAUACACAUGUAUACACAAGCUUACAGCAUAAUGGCUAUAAUGUUCACUACUGGAAAGCAGCCCAUGAGGAAACGCAGCUUCAAUAUAAAGCUUUUUUAGAAGUGGUUUGUGCAAAAGUUAAUAGUAAAUUUUGUGGUACAAUCACCAAAGUUGAAAGUUUUAACAUGGUACUUUGCUCACAAAAACUAACAAGACAUGUUCUUUACACAGCCAGAAUAAUUUUCCUGUUCCAAGAUUGCAAUGUUUAUCCACAUUUAAAGAAAGAAAGGCUGUAUAACUUGACAAAUAGCAGAAGUAGGAGCACUAAACCAUCAGGUCAUCUGUUAAUCCAAGAGAAACAUUUGGAUCCCUAUGACUAUAUAAUCAUGGAGGAAUAUCACAGCUGGUAUUCUCAACAAGGAAGACUUUUUUAUUAUUAAAAAAAAAAAAAAGCAAAAAAAGAAAAGCUUUCA
This is a long non-coding RNA of Parus major (Great Tit), 887 nucleotides long. RefSeq lists it as uncharacterized. The transcript is spliced from 4 exons. Lineage: Eukaryota; Metazoa; Chordata; Aves; Passeriformes; Paridae. The record is from RefSeq and is a predicted model, not a curated record.